This 253-nucleotide ribosomal RNA is filed under the name uncultured bacterium. RNAcentral's name for it is "partial 16S ribosomal RNA". It matches the Rfam family "Bacterial small subunit ribosomal RNA", at positions 524 to 776 of the family's 1533-position model. The record is from RNAcentral.
GACGAACCGUGCGAACGUUGUUCGGAAUCACUGGGCUUAAAGGGCGCGUAGGCGGGCUGUCAAGUCAAGGGUGAAAUCCUGCGGCUCAACCGUAGAAGAGCCCCUGAUACUGACGGUCUGGAGGGAGGUAGGGGCGUGUGGAACUUCCGGUGGAGCGGUGAAAUGCGUAGAGAUCGGAAGGAACGCCGGUGGCGAAAGCGGCACGCUGGACCUCUACUGACGCUGAGGCGCGAAAGCCAGGGGAGCAAACGGG